CACGGCGCACGGGUGCGUAACACGUGGGCAAUCUGCCCUCCGAUGGGGAAUAACCCCGCGAAAGCGGGGCUAAUUCCGCAUAACAUUCCCUGGACUCUGGUUCGGGGAUUCAAAGCAGCAAUGCGUCGGAGGAGGAGCCCGCGCCCGAUUAGCUAGUUGGUGAGGUAACGGCUCACCAAGGCAAUGAUCGGUAGCUGGUCUGAGAGGAUGGCCAGCCACACUGGAACUGAGACACGGUCCAGACUCCUACGGGAGGCAGCAGUGGGGAAUCUUGCGCAAUGGGCGAAAGCCUGACGCAGCGACGCCGCGUGGGGGAUGAAGCUUCUCGGAGUGUAAACCCCUUUCGACCGGGACGAAUGCCCGCAAGGGAGUGACGGUACCGGUAGAAGAAGCCCCGGCUAACUACGUGCCAGCAGCCGCGGUAAGACGUAGGGGGCCAGCGUUGUUCGGAAUUACUGGGUGUAAAGGGUUCGUAGGCGGUGUGGCAAGUCGGGAGUGAAAUUUCUGGGCUUAACCCAGAGGCUGCUUCCGAAACUGCUGUGCUCGAGUGUGGGAGAGGCGCGUGGAAUUGCAGGUGUAGCGGUGAAAUGCGUAGAUAUCUGCAGGAACACCCGUGGCGAAAGCGGCGCGCUGGACCACUACUGACGCUGAGGAACGAAAGCUAGGGGAGCAAACAGGAUUAGAUACCCUGGUAGUCCUAGCCCUAAACGAUCAGGACUUGGGGUGCCACCCGUUCGGGUGUCGUCCCGGAGCUAACGCGUUAAGUCCUGCACCUGGGGAGUACGGUCGCAAGACUGAAACUCAAAGGAAUUGACGGGGGCCCGCACAAGCGGUGGAACAUGUGGUUCAAUUCGA
This 855-nucleotide ribosomal RNA is filed under the name uncultured bacterium. Its description in RNAcentral is "bacterial SSU rRNA". It matches the Rfam family "Bacterial small subunit ribosomal RNA", at positions 94 to 954 of the family's 1533-position model. The record is from RNAcentral.